Panicum virgatum (switchgrass) is the source of this 362-nucleotide long non-coding RNA. RefSeq lists it as uncharacterized. Lineage: Eukaryota; Viridiplantae; Streptophyta; Magnoliopsida; Poales; Poaceae. The record is from RefSeq and is a predicted model, not a curated record. The transcript has 3 exons.
UUGUAGUCUCAGCACAUUUCAAGUACCAGGUCGUGUUCAUGGUAAGCGUGGGACAAAAGUGCUUGCAAGAGAUGAGUAUCAUGCAAUUCUGAUUUACAUUUACACCAACACUCUGGAGAUGGAUGAUUUUGUGAUGAGAUUUGACAAAGCAGAAUGUAGGAAUUUCCAUCGAGCAACUCAGCAACAAAUUGAUAAAACUCGAAAGUCUGGUGCUGGUAGAGGCCGUCUAAACUUAUUUGAAUGGUUUAGAGAUUUGUGCUUAAAGGAAGGAGGUAUCCACAAGGAUUUGGUUCAAAUAUCUCAUGGUUGCCGUACUCGUGUGUCUUGUUUAACUGGAUAUGAUGUUAAUAACUUUAGGUUUC